Molecule: unclassified non-coding RNA, 349 nt
Filed under: soil metagenome
Description: partial contains 5.8S ribosomal RNA, internal transcribed spacer 2, and large subunit ribosomal RNA
Rfam family: 5.8S ribosomal RNA (bases 1-120)
Source: RNAcentral
GAUGAAGAACGUAGCGAAAUGCAAUAAGUAAUGUGAAUUGCAGAAUUCAGUGAAUCAUCGAAUCUUUGAACGCACAUUGCGCCCGCCAGUAUUCUGGCGGGCAUGCCUGUCCGAGCGUCAUUUCAACCCUCGAACCCCUCCGGGGGGUCGGCGUUGGGGAUCGGCCCUUUACCGGCCGGCCCCGAAAUACAGUGGCGGUCUCGCCGCAGCCUCUCCUGCGCAGUAGUUUGCACACUCGCACCGGGAGCGCGGCGCAGUCCAAUGCCGUAAAACACCCAACUUUCUGAAAUGUUGACCUCGGAUCAGGUAGGAAUACCCGCUGAACUUAAGCAUAUCAAUAAGCGGAGGA